ACCCACAGGUGUGUCCGGAGCUGGCCCCAGACACAAAGCGCCAAGAAUUGGCGGGGACAUCUCAGCCGGCGGGGACACACCCCGGAGUCCGAGGUCCCCGUCACCAGGGUGCAGCUGCCCAGACUGUCCUCUCCAGAAGCCAGCGCCUUGGCCGUCUGCAUCUCACUGUGUCCUCGGCACUUAGAACAGUCCUGGUGCACAGUAGGUGCGCUUGGUGGGGAUGAGAUCAGUGAACAGAUGAAGGCAGAAGGGCCUUCAUGCCACAGAAGGACAUGGGGACAGGAAAGGGCUCGGCCAGGAUAUCCCUUCCUGUGGCCGACAGUCAACAGAGCCUUCCCCACUGCCAGACCGAAGGUCUCUUCCUCCUCCUAGUAUCCAUG
This 380-nucleotide long non-coding RNA is filed under the name Homo sapiens (human). RNAcentral's name for it is "non-protein coding lnc-ESPN-4:1". The record is from RNAcentral. Lineage: Eukaryota; Metazoa; Chordata; Mammalia; Primates; Hominidae.